Molecule: ribosomal RNA, 1600 nt
Filed under: human oral metagenome
Description: bacterial LSU rRNA
Rfam family: Bacterial large subunit ribosomal RNA
Source: RNAcentral
GGGGGGUGAUGGCGUGCCUAUUGAAGAAUGAGCCUGCGAGUCGCCGCCGCGUCGCGAGGUUAACCCGUGUGGGGGAGCCGUAGCGACAGCGAGUCCGAAUGGGGCGCCCAGUGGCGCGGCGCGGACCCGAAGCGGGGUGAUCUACCCAUGGCCAGGUUGAAGCACGUGUAAGAGCGUGUGGAGGACCGCACCCGCCUCAGUUGAAAAUGGGGGGGAUGAGCUGUGGGUAGGGGUGAAAGGCCAAUCAAACCCCGUGAUAGCUGGUUCUCCCCGAAAUGCAUUUGGGUGCAGCGUCCCGUGCUCCCCGGCGGAGGUAGAGCUACCGGUUGGCUGAUGGGCCCCACAGGGUUACUGGCGUCAGCCGAACUCCGAAUGCCGUCGGGCGGUGAGCGGGGCAGUGAGACCGCGGGGGAUAAGCUUCGCGGUCGAGAGGGGAACAGCCCGGAUCGCCGGCUAAGGCCCCCAAGCGCGCGCUAAGUGGGAAAGGAUGUGCGGUCGCGGUGACAACCAGGAGGUUGGCUUAGAAGCAGCCAUCCUUGAAAGAGUGCGUAAUAGCUCACUGGUCAAGUGGUCGUGCGCCGACAAUUGAGCGGGGCUCAAGCGCGCCGCCGAAGCCGCGGAUCCGCCGCGAUAGGGCCCGGCCGCCCCCUGUGGGGGGGCGGUGGGGCGCGGCGGGUGGUAGGGGAGCGUCCCGCGCGGGGUGAAGCCGCCGGGUGACCGGGGGUGGACGGCGCGGGAGUGAGAAUGCAGGCAUGAGUAGCGAUACUGGGGUGGGAAGCCCCAGCGCCGCGUGACCAAGGGUUCCAGGGCCAGGCUAGUCCGCCCUGGGUGAGUCGGGACCUAAGGCGAGGCCGACGGGCGUAGUCGAUGGAUGACGGGUUGAUAUUCCCGUACCGGACCGGAUACCGACCGUGCCGACGCGCGGGUGCUGACCCACGCCCCGCGCCGCCCGUGUACGCCCCCGCGUCCCGGUCUUCGGGCCGGGCGGGGGCGGGGCGGCGGGGGUCUGGGGACCCUCCGCGCAGGUAGGCAAGCGUAUUAACAGGGGUGACGCGCAGUGGUGGCCCCGCGGGUCUGAUGGCUCGGCCCGUUCAAGCGCGCGGCCCGCCGCCCAGGCAAAUCCGGGCGGCUGCCUUCGAUGGCGGGGGUGAGGCGCGAUGGUGACCCGGCCCGGUGGGGCCGGGGAAGUAGGGUGAUCCUGUGGCGCCGAGAAAAGCCUCGACGCGAGGGGCCGGUCCGCCCGUACCCCAAACCGACACAGGUGGUCGGGCAGAGCAUGCCCAGGCGCACGGGCGAACCGUGGUGAAGGAACUCGGCAAAACGCCCCCGUAACUUCGGGAGAAGGGGGGCCCGAACCCUGAGGCCCCGAGCGGGCUGGGGGUGAGGGUCGCAGAGGCCAGGGGGGAGCGACUGUUUACUAAAAACACAGGUCCGUGCGAAGCCGCAAGGCGAUGUAUACGGACUGACGCCUGCCCGGUGCUGGAAGGUCAAGAGGACCCGUCAGCCCCCCUUGCGGGGGUGAAGCGGUGAAUUCAAGCCCCAGUGAACGGCGGUGGUAACUAUAACCAUCCUAAGGUAGCGAAAUUCCUUGUCGGGUAAG